This 301-nucleotide ribosomal RNA is filed under the name uncultured bacterium. RNAcentral's name for it is "partial 16S ribosomal RNA". It matches the Rfam family "Bacterial small subunit ribosomal RNA", at positions 509 to 809 of the family's 1533-position model. The record is from RNAcentral.
CAGUCGCCACGGGAAUACGAAGGGGGCUAGCGUUGCUCGGAAUCACUGGGCGUAAAGGGUGCGUAGGCGGGUCUUUAAGUCAGGGGUGAAAUCCUGGAGCUCAACUCCAGAACUGCCUUUGAUACUGAAGAUCUUGAGUUCGGGAGAGGUGAGUGGAACUGCGAGUGUAGAGGUGAAAUUCGUAGAUAUUCGGAGGAACACCAGUGGCGAAGGCGGCUCACUGGUCCAUUACUGACGCUGAGGUGCGUAAGCGUGGGGAGCAAACAGGAUUAGAUACCCCUGUAGUCCCUGUCUCUUAUAA